RNAcentral lists this long non-coding RNA (579 nucleotides) under Selaginella moellendorffii. Its description in RNAcentral is "long non-coding RNA (SMOE_LNC000204)". Lineage: Eukaryota; Viridiplantae; Streptophyta; Lycopodiopsida; Selaginellales; Selaginellaceae. The record is from RNAcentral.
CUCCAGUUUACAAGUACGAAUCUCCUCCGCCACCGGUGUACAAGUACAGCUCACCACCACCACCGGUUUACAAAUACAAGUCGCCUCCUCCACCUGUUUACCACGCCCCGGCUCCAGUCUACAAGUACAAAUCCCCGCCGCCACCGGUGUAUCACUACACCUCCCCGCCACCACCUGUUUACAAGUAUAAGUCUCCACCGCCGCCUGUUUACCACGCUCCCGCCCCAGUCUACAAGUAUAAGUCACCGCCGCCACCUGUUUACCACUACAGCUCCCCACCACCCCCGGUUUACAAGUACAAAUCUCCUCCUCCCCCUGUCUACCACGCUCCAGCACCGGUUUACAAGUAUAAGUCUCCACCGCCACCGGUCUAUCACUACAGCUCCCCGCCACCACCGGUGUACAAGUACAAGUCGCCACCACCGCCUGUGUACCACGCUCCAGCACCGGUUUACAAGUAUAAGUCGCCUCCUCCACCUGUUUACCACUACAGCUCGCCACCACCGCCGGUCUACGAGUACAAAUCCCCGCCACCUCCUGUGUACCACGCCCCGGCUCCAGUUUACAAGUAUAAGUCAC